GCACUGGUGGUUCAGUGGUAGAAUUCUCACCUUCCAUAUGAGAGACCCGAGUUCAAUUCCCUGCCAGUGCG
This is a non-coding RNA of Orycteropus afer afer, 71 nucleotides long. NCBI's taxonomy places the organism in Eukaryota, Metazoa, Chordata, Mammalia, Tubulidentata, Orycteropodidae. The record is from the annotation of a RefSeq genome assembly.